GACGAACGCUGGCGGCAUGCCUAAUACAUGCAAGUCGAACGAUGAUAUCACUGCUUGCAGUGAUUGAUUAGUGGCGAACGGGUGAGUAACACGUGAGGAACUUGCCCAUGAGCGGGGGACAACAUUCGGAAACGGAUGCUAAUACCCCAUAGGUGGAUUGGUCGCAUGACGAAUUCAUUAAAGUUGGCUCUGCUACCACUCAUGGAUAGCCUCGCGGCGUAUUAGCUAGUUGGUAAGGUAAUGGCUUACCAGGGCAGUGAUACGUAGCCGACUGAAGAGGGGAAUCGGCCACACGGGAACUGAACCCCGGCCCGAACCCUAAGGGGAGGCAGCAGGGGGAAUACUGCACAAAGGGGGGAAAACUGGACGAGGCAAUGCGGCGGGAGUGAAGAGGGCCUUCGGUUCGUAAACCUCUUUUGUUAGAAAAAAACACGUGCGAGUAAACUACUGGUGUCUUGACGGUACCUAACCAGAAAGUCACGGCUAACUACGUG
This 494-nucleotide ribosomal RNA is filed under the name uncultured bacterium. RNAcentral's name for it is "partial 16S ribosomal RNA". It matches the Rfam family "Bacterial small subunit ribosomal RNA", at positions 28 to 507 of the family's 1533-position model. The record is from RNAcentral.